RNAcentral lists this ribosomal RNA (27 nucleotides) under Ascochyta medicaginicola var. macrospora. RNAcentral's name for it is "partial 28S ribosomal RNA". Lineage: Eukaryota; Fungi; Ascomycota; Dothideomycetes; Pleosporales; Didymellaceae. The record is from RNAcentral. RNAcentral also lists the same sequence under 2 other names.
CUUGACCUCGGAUCAGGUAGGGAUACA